Molecule: ribosomal RNA, 253 nt
Filed under: uncultured bacterium
Lineage: Bacteria
Description: partial 16S ribosomal RNA
Rfam family: Bacterial small subunit ribosomal RNA
Source: RNAcentral
UACGUAGGGUGCGAGCGUUGUCCGGAAUUAUUGGGCGUAAAGAGCUUGUAGGCGGUUUGUCGCGUCUGCUGUGAAAUUCCAGGGCUUAACCCUGGGCUUGCAGUGGGUACGGGCAGACUAGAGUGUGGUAGGGGAGACUGGAAUUCCUGGUGUAGCGGUGAAAUGCGCAGAUAUCAGGAGGAACACCGGUGGCGAAGGCGGGUCUCUGGGCCGAUACUGACGCUGAGGAGCGAAAGCGUGGGGAGCGAACAGG